GUAAAUCGAAGAGGUUGCGACCAACAAGAGUCGGUUAGUCGAGUUGCUGUAUUGAAUGAUGACACUAACUAAAAGGGGCGGUCGCCGAAGCGCUGACAGAUUACAGCUGUCAGUUAGCUGGGACGUUGUUUAAGAAAUGACGGACUGUCGCGGGCUACGUGCUCGCGGGGCGCUAUCGAACUGA
RNAcentral lists this non-coding RNA (184 nucleotides) under Secundilactobacillus collinoides. RNAcentral describes it as "Lactobacillus collinoides Lysine sequence". It matches the Rfam family "Lysine riboswitch aptamer". From Rfam's summary of the family: Riboswitches are metabolite binding domains within certain messenger RNAs that serve as precision sensors for their corresponding targets. Allosteric rearrangement of mRNA structure is mediated by ligand binding, and this results in modulation of gene expression. The record is from RNAcentral. Lineage: Bacteria; Bacillati; Bacillota; Bacilli; Lactobacillales; Lactobacillaceae.